Mirounga angustirostris (Northern elephant seal) is the source of this 453-nucleotide long non-coding RNA. RefSeq lists it as uncharacterized. Lineage: Eukaryota; Metazoa; Chordata; Mammalia; Carnivora; Phocidae. The transcript has 3 exons. The record is from RefSeq and is a predicted model, not a curated record.
CCACCUAUGUUAGAAUGUUUCUUCUACAGAGCUGGACACCUGCUACUCCGGAACCUUAAAAAUACUCUGAAUACUCUGAAACAUGAAAUUAAUGGCCAGUUGGGACAGGAAAAUAUGAGGCCUUCUGGUUCUGUCUACUUCCAACUUGUCUACAUGACUGAUUUUUUUUUUUUUUUUAAACAUCAAGGACUUGGUGAGUUGUUUUGGAAUCCUGUAUUAAACGAUGUGCUUCUUCAAGGUCAGGGCAGGCACCCACUCAACUUUGCAUUCAUGAGCAAGAAUGCUGGUGACAGGCUUCUAUUGAGAUCUCCUGUCUGUAUGCCGUGACAAGACAGAGCGAGAAAACAUUGAUAAACUGAUGAAACCAUUGUGUGUCCUCUCAUUCGCUUGACUGUGUUACUCCGGGGGACCCUGCUGUGGGUUCUGUGUCUGUACAUCAUGCGCCACGAGCAG